GAUGAACGCUGGCGGCGUGCCUAAUACAUGCAAGUCGAGCGAACGGACGAGAAGCUUGCUUCUCUGAUGUUAGCGGCGGACGGGUGAGUAACACGUGGAUAACCUACCUAUAAGACUGGGAUAACUUCGGGAAACCGGAGCUAAUACCGGAUAAUAUUUUGAACCGCAUGGUUCAAAAGUGAAAGACGGUCUUGCUGUCACUUAUAGAUGGAUCCGCGCUGCAUUAGCUAGUUGGUAAGGUAACGGCUUACCAAGGCAACGAUGCAUAGCCGACCUGAGAGGGUCAUCGGCCACCCGGGAAGUGAGACACGGUCCAGACUCCUACGGGAGGCAGCAGUAGGGAAUCUUCCGCAAUGGGCGAAAGCCUGACGGAGCAACGCCGCGUGAGUGAUGAAGGUCUUCGGAUCGUAAAACUCUGUUAUUAGGGAAGAACAUAUGUGUAAGUAACUGUGCACAUCUUGACGGUACCUAAUCAGAAAGCCACGGCUAACUACGUG
This 497-nucleotide ribosomal RNA is filed under the name uncultured bacterium. RNAcentral's name for it is "partial 16S ribosomal RNA". It matches the Rfam family "Bacterial small subunit ribosomal RNA", at positions 28 to 507 of the family's 1533-position model. The record is from RNAcentral.